GACUGACAGAUUUAAGAGGAGAAACGCAUGUAUUAUCCUCAACUCUCCACCACACCUUCCAAUCAAAUUAAAAAAAUCUUGAGUGCUUCUCCGUCGGGCCGUCCAUGCCGUCAACAACCUCACGACCAUUCUUCUCCCUGCCCAGUCUCUUCCCCUUCCCGUCUUUAUCUCCCAUGCUUUCCCAAUAUCUCUCUCCCAUGGUAUGAGCGCCUACGGGUGAGGGAAGCGACAUGUUGUCGAAAGGUACCUCCAGUUCCAUUGCUCACAUGUGCGUCCACCGAGACGUGGGAGAAAGCGGUCAACACAGAGAGGAUCUAUGAGGCGAUGUCGAUGGAUUAUAGGCAGUGGCACAUGUUCCUUCCGUAGAGGCGGGGGUUCUUUGUCACUGUCUUAGACUGAAGCUCUCGCGACUACGAAGCCGUCAUGUCUGGGAAUAUUGCAAUUCAUGUUUGGUGAUGCAAAUUGGACAAGUUUUCCACGGUUUACUUGUGAUUCAUGUGAAUGCACAUUAGAAAACUACUGUGAAUCGGUAGUCUCCUAACCUCCAACAUAUAAGUGGUUCCUUUCAGCUUCAGCUGACAUUAUAUUAUCCUCCAAAAAUGCAUGCUAUUGUUUGUAACACUUGAAAAUAUAAGAUAUCUGCAGGGUGUACAUAGUUACAAAUUGUCAUUAUCAUUUAGAUGUUUUAAUACAAUUCAUGAAGUAUUAUUCUCAUGUCCUAUUUGCAUCAAUUUCCUGUCAAAUAAAAUAAUUUUUUUAUG
Long non-coding RNA from Triticum aestivum (bread wheat), 761 nucleotides. RefSeq lists it as uncharacterized. Lineage: Eukaryota; Viridiplantae; Streptophyta; Magnoliopsida; Poales; Poaceae. The transcript is spliced from 3 exons. The record is from RefSeq and is a predicted model, not a curated record.